This is a long non-coding RNA of Hypanus sabinus (Atlantic stingray), 290 nucleotides long. RefSeq lists it as uncharacterized. NCBI's taxonomy places the organism in Eukaryota, Metazoa, Chordata, Chondrichthyes, Myliobatiformes, Dasyatidae. The record is from RefSeq and is a predicted model, not a curated record. The transcript has 3 exons.
AAGCAACACACACAAAGCACUGGAGGAACUGCCAAGCAGCAUCUAUGGAAAAGAGUUUUGGGCCAAGUCCCUUCAGCAGAAGUGGGCAGGUCUCAUGCAGCCUGAAGAAGGAAUGGAAUUGCCAGAACUCAGAAUGAAGCAGUAUCAGACAAUGGAAGUGAUCAGGUUCCUUUCAACAUUGCCAUGCUUUGAAAUCCUCCUUGAAAUUCCUGGCCUCCUACACUUUUCAUGGUAUGGAAGUUGUCCUGUCCAAGACCAGAAGAAGCUGCAGAAGAUGGUGAACAUAGCCC